Molecule: non-coding RNA, 83 nt
Organism: Nematostella vectensis (starlet sea anemone)
Lineage: Eukaryota; Metazoa; Cnidaria; Anthozoa; Actiniaria; Edwardsiidae
Source: Rfam
ACCAGGAUGGCCGAGUGGUUAAGGCGUUGGACUUAAGUUCCAAUGUACGAAUGUACGCGUGGGUUCGAACCCCACUCCUGGUA